GACGAACGCUGGCGGCGUGCCUAAUACAUGCAAGUUGAGCGCUGAAGGUUGGUACUUGUACCAACUGGAUGAGCAGCGAACGGGUGAGUAACGCGUGGGGAAUCUGCCUUUGAGCGGGGGACAACAUUUGGAAACGAAUGCUAAUACCGCAUAAAAACUUUAAACACAAGUUUUAAGUUUGAAAGAUGCAAUUGCAUCACUCAAAGAUGAUCCCGCGUUGUAUUAGCUAGUUGGUGAGGUAAAGGCUCACCAAGGCGAUGAUACAUAGCCGACCUGAGAGGGUGAUCGGCCACAUUGGGACUGAGACAAGGCCCAAACUCCUACGGGAGGCAGCAGUAGGGAAUCUUCGGCAAUGGACGAAAGUCUGACCGAGCAACGCCGCGUGAGUGAAGAAGGUUUUCGGAUCGUAAAACUCUGUUGGUAGAGAAGAACGAUGGUGAGAGUGGAAAGCUCAUCAAGUGACGGUAACUACACAGAAAGGGACGGCUAACUACGUG
This 497-nucleotide ribosomal RNA is filed under the name uncultured bacterium. Its description in RNAcentral is "partial 16S ribosomal RNA". It matches the Rfam family "Bacterial small subunit ribosomal RNA", at positions 28 to 507 of the family's 1533-position model. The record is from RNAcentral.